Molecule: ribosomal RNA, 482 nt
Filed under: uncultured bacterium
Lineage: Bacteria
Description: partial 16S ribosomal RNA
Rfam family: Bacterial small subunit ribosomal RNA
Source: RNAcentral
GACGAACGCUGGCGGCGUGCUUAACACAUGCCAGUCGAACGCUGAAGCUCAGCUUGCUGGGUGGAUGAGUGGCGAACGGGUGAGUAACACGUGAGUAACCUGCCCUCUUCUUUGGGAUAACGCCCGGAAACGGGUGCUAAUACUGGAUAUUCACUGAUUCUCGCAUGGGGGUUGGUGGAAAGGUUUUUUCUGGUGGGGGAUGGGCUCGCGGCCUAUCAGCUUGUUGGUGGGGUGAUGGCCUACCAAGGCUUUGACGGGUAGCCGGCCUGAGAGGGUGACCGGUCACAUUGGGACUGAGAUACGGCCCAGACUCCUACGGGAGGCAGCAGUGGGGAAUAGUGCACAAUGGGCGAAAGCCUGAUGCAGCGACGCCGCGUGAGGGAUGGAGGCCUUCGGGUUGUAAACCUCUUUCGCUCAUGGUCAAGCCGCAGCUUUGGGUUGUGGUGAGGGUAGUGGGUAAAGAAGCGCCGGCUAACUACGUG